GAUAUAACCAAAGCCCGACUGU
RNAcentral lists this microRNA (22 nucleotides) under Rattus norvegicus (Norway rat). RNAcentral's name for it is "rno-miR-344b-1-3p". Its record names the gene rno-miR-344b-1-3p. The record is from miRBase by way of RNAcentral. Lineage: Eukaryota; Metazoa; Chordata; Mammalia; Rodentia; Muridae.